Long non-coding RNA from Equus asinus (donkey), 4461 nucleotides. The record is from Ensembl. Lineage: Eukaryota; Metazoa; Chordata; Mammalia; Perissodactyla; Equidae.
UCAAGAAGUACAGCUGCAGAUGUGGGAAAAAGAAAGAGCCAGUGGUGGAUGGUAGGGGAUUAGGUCAGGGUGGGGAGUGUUUUAUAAAUAUGAGAAGUUUGGAGGAUAUUUAAAUACUGAAGGAAGUGACAGAUUGAGUGGAAGGGGUCGAAAGAAGGCCAGAUGGAGGCUAUUGAGAAGGCUGGAGAGGCUGAGAUUCAGAGCACACUAGAGCAAUCGCUCUGAUGGCAGGAGGAGGGCGCUUCUGCUGCUACAGGAAGGAAGGAGGAGAGAAUGGGUGUGGAUGCUGGUACGUUUGUGGGUUUAGGGGCAAGAAUUUGAGAGCGUUCCUGUCUAGUGACUCUCAUUUUCUCUGCGAGGGAAAAAGAGAAUAGCGGGGAUCUUUUUCGACACACCCAUUGUGAAAGCUCAAAAUCCGUAUUGAAGAGGAAGUUUUAAAAAGCUUUUGUGAAGUUGAGAGAGAGAAAAAGUUCUUAAAAUGUAUUUUAAAAAACAAAUUCAGACAAAUGUAAUUCAUGGUCAAGACAGAGUAUGAAAGUAAGAGACUCAUGAAAAUUCUGCUUAUAACAAUUGAUGGUGGGUGUACUAAAAAUAUUAAUUUAAACUAAAAUUGUAUGUCUUAUUCUAAUAAACAUUUUAUGAUCAAGUCUAAUGGUUAGACAAAUCGAAACAAUUCACCUUACACAUCCAGAUUUAAUGUUUUUUCUCUGAGCAGUUGACUGAAUACAUAAUCACUAAUUGCAGUAGGAUUAUAUUAAAAUCAGAUGGCUUAAACUUUCUAGAACUGGAUGAUUAACACAAUAACCUGAACUUAAUUAGGUAUUCAUAUUAAAUGCUGGCAAUAAGCAAGUGUUUCCUUUGAUAUCCACUUUAAGUGCAUACUGAAAUCACAGCAUGGCACCAUAAGAAUAUACACAGAGUCAAUGGAGUUUGAAGAAAUUAGACAGAAUAAAUGAGUCACACUUUUAUUCAUAUGGAGCCCAUCCUGGGGUAGAGAUGAGGGCAUAGGGAGGCAGCACAAAUCUGUUGCUUCCUUGUCUUAACAUCAUUAUGCAGAAUCCAGUGUUCUGAGCAGUAGUUAAUCCUCCUAACUGGAGCUGAGAUCUUUACUGUUGUGUCAUGUUUGACAGGAGGAAGCACUUGUCCUCUAGAAAGGACCUAUAAGGCAUUAGGAGGGCUUCUCAACAGCAGGAACCAAAGUUCCCUUUGUUAUAACUCAACCUACAAUUUUCUCUAUUUCCAACCCAGGUACAUAGACUGGAAAAUUCCCCAAGUAAUCGUUAUAAUACUCCUUCAGAUCCUAGCUCCUUGGGCAUCUUGUCCGCAAAAAUUCCCUCAUAUUAUUUGUGCUCCACAGCAAGGUUGGAAGAUUAACUUGAAAGCCACAGUUGUACAAGGACACAGAAUCUCCCCUGCCCCAUUCCAAAUAAAUUAUAAGGACUUCAGCUUUGGUGAAGCAGUCUUGGAAGCCAUACAUACAUGAGUCCUACUGCAGCAAAAGUGCCAGGAACUGCUGCCAUCAGUUCCAUGUCCCUUGGUCACACUGGAGCAAGUUAUACAGAGCAGGAGAGGAAACAAACGUUUAUUCCCUUCCUCUUGCAGCAACUCAUAGGUACCUUGAACACCAGAGUCCAAUAUUGGCUAUACCAGGCCAUGUGAUAUUUUGACCAUCCCCCUCAUCCUUUCUGGCUCUUUCAGGCUAGGACCAAAAGGCUGUACAGCUAAUGGUGUUGAAGGGCCCAGGAGUGACCACCAAGGAAGCCAUGCUCAUAUGCUUCCUUCCUCCCUCCUUCUCCCUGUCUUGUUAAAAUCUAGUGAAGUAUAUUCAUCUUCCUGAAAGGCUUUCCAAUCAGCCCUGCCUACUCCUGUUGUCUCAGUCUCCUGUCCUACAUGUAGGUAAUUACUCAGAAAGCCCAGGCUUGCCCUUGCUUGGUGCAUGUUAGGGAUGUUUUGUAUGUGUUGUGAUGAGGUAUUCCAGGGAAAGAUAACCACCUGGGCAGCUCUCUUUUCUCUUUACUUGUUUCCUAGGAUGCCUGUUCCUGGUUCGGCACAGUGCGGGCUCAGACAACGCUGUUCACAAUUGGACUGUUUAUUUGCAAUAAGGGGCUGAUGGCUUCCAAAUUUAAAUCUCCAAUACUGACGUCACUGCUGGACUUGAGACUUCCAUCCAACUAUAGGCUGCUAGACAUCUCACCUGGAGAUCUCAGACAUGAAAAUCAACGUGACCCAAACUAAAUGCAUCAUUGCCUCACUUCCCCUAAAUCAGAUCUUUUGCUGUUUCCUCUCUCGGGAACUGACAUCAUAACCCACUUGGUUACUGAAGUCAGAAAACUGAGAUUCAUCCCAGAUCAUUCUCCCUAAUUCAUCCCACUACAACUGGCCAAUCAGUAAACCUUAUUUGUGUGGUCUCCCAGCCAUUUGCUGGAUCAAGGCUCUCCUCCACACUUUCUCCCCUGAUGUAGCUCCGGCCUCACCUUCCUUGAUAUACACGACUGCAGACACUUCUGGAAUGGUCUGCCUGCCUUUGAUCUUGUUUUUGUCAUCCUCCCCAAGAUCCACGCUUUACACUAUUGCCAGAGAGACUAACCAUAGAGUGCAGCUCUGAGAGGGUUACUCCCCAGCUUAAAACCAAAUUCAGAGGGAUCCCAUACAUGGCAUUUAAGCUAAAGGCAUUCCAUGACCUGGCUCUUCCAAAUCUGUUGAACUUCAUCUCCUGCCCUCCCCCGGCCCCAUUACAUUGCCCUUAUGUGGGUUAAAAGCCCUUACAUCGCCUUUAUGUGGGUUCUAGAAGGCCUACUACAGAGCACCUGUUUUCCCUGCUGGAGUCUGGAAUCAAUUAAGUAUUAUGACAAGAAGACCACAUAUGAAGACAAAGACCACACAUUACUGAUAAAGCCCAUACUGGAGUAAGUGGCUUCUAUUUGCAGACAAGGAGGCUUCUCCAUUAUGAAGAGACGGACGUAUGCUUCCUGUCAACAGUUCACCGCCAUCAGGAAGAGAAGAGAAAUGAAUCAGGCACACUCAAAUUAUUCUCCUUAGAUUGACUAAUCAGAAUUCACUCCGCUCCCCAUGAGGAGAAGUAAAGGGUCGGGGGAGGGCUGGAAUUGACAGGGGCUCCCUCUAUAUGAAAAUGAGCCACAGCAAUGGAGAAGGAACAUCCCCUUCAUGCUGCCUCCAUCUGUGUGCCCUUUCUGAGGCUGUUUGAACUGCCUAGGAUAUCACCCCUCAUUUCCCACCUGCCUAACUUCUACUCAUCCUCCAAGACUCAGGUCAGAUUGGACCUCCUUCAGAAACCCUCUGUGAAUUCCUAGAAAGUGCCCAUCCUCUGUGCUCACAGGUCUCUCUCAGACCAUUCACCUUAGUGCAGUGAAUGUCUAUUAAUUUGCCUGUUUUCCUUAAGGGAACCAUCAUGCCAUUCAACCUUGUAUUGCCUGUGCCCAGCACACUGACUGGUACAUAGUAGAUACUUAACAAAUGCUCAGUGGACUGGACUGAGAUUAUCUAGAGAAGCCUCUUCAUUUGAUAAAUGACCUUUAAAGGCUCCAUUUUGUAUGUUGUGAGUAUUGGUAACAAAACAGAGUAAGUGUUGGAGUCAGGCACGUUUAGUUUGUGAUUCUGCAUCUUCUUAGCUGUGUGACCUUACUCAAACCACUUGUCCUUUCUAAAUCCCAGUUUUCGAAUAUGUAAAAUGAGAUAAUACUAUCUUCCUUCCCAGUUUGGUAUAAUAAUUAAAUAAGAUAGAAAUAAAUUAUCUAGCUCACUAGCACCUGGCAUAGAAUACACACCAGAGAAAUGGUAACUAUUAUUAUUUUAUAGCUAUUCUUAUUAUUAAAUUAUAUUUUGUUUGACAGUGUUUAGUUGAACGAAUUCAGCAAUUAAUAAAGGUACAAUUCCCACCCUCAAGCAACGUAGAGUCUAGAGAAGAAGCUCGAAAUAGGGAUUCUGUAUUUCCAGGAUUCUACAGAAGAUUCUGUAUUUCUGGACUUACUAGUCAGGGUUCUCCAGGGAAACAGAACAAAUAGGACAUAUAUGAGGAGAUUUAAUAUGAGGAAUUGGUUCACUUAAUUAUAGAGGCUGAGAAGUCUCAAGAUCUGCUGUCUGCAAGCUGGAGACCCAGGAAAGCUGGUGAUGUAAUUCCAAGUCCAAGUCCAAAGGCCUGAGAAUCAGGAGCAGAGCUGGUCCAAGCCCUAGUCCAAGGGCAGGAGAAGACAGAUGUUUCAGCAGUCAGGCAAAGAUGAAGAAUUCUCCCUUCCUCCACCCUUUUGUUCUACCAGGCCCUUAAGAGAUUGGAUGCCCAUCCAGAUUGUGAGGGGUAACCUGCUCCACCCAGUCAGAUUCAAAUGCUAAUCUCAUCCAGAAACACCCUCACAGACACACCCCGAAAUAAUGUUUAACCAGAUAUCUGGGCACCCUGUGGCCCAGCCAAAUGGACUUAAAAUUAACCAUCACACUUUAUAAACC